This 4743-nucleotide long non-coding RNA is filed under the name Gossypium barbadense (sea-island cotton). Its description in RNAcentral is "long non-coding RNA (GBAR_LNC012737)". Lineage: Eukaryota; Viridiplantae; Streptophyta; Magnoliopsida; Malvales; Malvaceae. The record is from RNAcentral.
AUGUUUUGCUUAACAAAUUCUGGGAUAUAACAAAUGAAUAAGAUAAGUAGCUUUUCAAAAAGGACACAUUGAGGUUUAACACAAAUGACCUUUUUCUGAUAAAACUAUGUUUUUUUCCAAAUCUCACUACAAUGUGACAUCUCAGAUUUGGCCAUAAUGUCUAGGCCGAGUUUGGGGUGUUACACUGCCAACAUUCUCAGACACUCGAUGAUCAUCAUGAUAGAUUGCUCGCUAUGCGAGUCCUACAAUGACUUCCUUUUUUUUAUACCCUGUCAGGCUUUUCUUUUUGUAAUAAAAUGUACCUGUUCACCAUUGGAUCAUGCCAUGACUAGCCAUUGACUUUUGAUUCCUUAGAAUCAGUAAAUCUCUUUCGGGGUGUCACUCUAAAAAGCUUGUAUACCAUUUACACGGUGUCGCACCAAAUGACCUAUAUACAUGUACAUGGUGUCGCCCCGAAGAACCAGUAUAUUAUUUACACGGUGUUGCCUCGAAGGACCUAUAAAUUACCAUUUCACGAUGCCGCCAAACUCCCUCGAAUCCCCUUUCAAUCCGUUCAUUCCUCCAUUAUGCCAAUUUUUCCCAUCUUCAACUAAUCUGCCAAAGUAAUUCCCUUCGUACUCUGCAUUUUAUAAAUAUACAUUUCACGCUUAUUGUUACACUUAUUACUAUAGCAUAUAGUACGCCAUUUAUCAAUAUGUUAAUACACUACCACAUUUGCAUCCAGAGAACAUACUUGCAAGCAUCUAUAUAUUUACACAACUUUAUGCAUGCAUAGCAUACUCAUUCAUCAUAAUCACACUCAACCAUGAAAUCUGAAUUGAACUUAGAAUAAACAUAUGAGCAGAACAUUCAACCAGCAAACACCCAAAGUGGAGUACAGGAACUCACCUACUAUCCUUUAUCCUCGCCAGGUUAGCUCGUCUGAAUGUCAAAGCCUCAUUCAUUGUGACAACUAAGCAUGAAAACCAAAUAUACUGGUUAAAUUGGAGGCAUUCAAGGUUUAAAUACCCGAAUCAAAUUUCAUGCAAAAAUUUCCAAUGAUUUCAUAAACCCCUUAACUUCUCUUUUCCUCAACUUCACGAAUAUAGUAAGAUUAAGAAGCUUACUAGUUUACUGUAUUCAAUACAUUCCAGACUUAAACCUUACGAUCACCACGUCAUGCAGGACUUUCCUUAACGUUAUCUUGUUCGGAGCAAUCAAAAAAGGCGGUGUAGAUGAGAAGAAAAUAUAAACAUAACUAAGAAGAAUUUCCUUUGCCGAAUAAGGCUUCUCACAUGUAUAUAACCUUUUGCGCACGGUCACCAAAGCCCUAAAUAAGUCAUCCAUUGAUAAUCAUUUUGUGUUCCACUAAGGAACUGGGCGGUUCCAUCUUAAUUGAACCAGAAUUAAAACUCAACUAAUUAUCAAUUAGCCACUAAAAUUCCCAAGCUUUCUGAUAGAGCCCGCCGACUUAUUAUUUUAUUCAAUUAACUUCCAACUCUCCUUUAACUUCGGGACUUUAAUGAAAAUUGAGUGUGACACGUUGCCACAUUCCAUUUUCAUUAACCACAUAAUGCAUUUAAAAUGACAUCUUUUAAUUCAUUGUAUCUAUGAUUCUAUAUCUUUAAGUAAAGAUAAACUCUGCAUAAGUCAUAUUAAACUCAUGCAUAAGUCAUAUACCCAUCAAUUGAUUUAAUAGCUUACUACUUCGAAAUGUUUUAACAUUUGAACAUCAAAUUAUGUGAGUCAUACGUGUGCAAUCAUGUACUUAUUUAGAAUUAAGGUAAACACAGAAUGAAUGUCAUAAAUGAAUUAAUUUAUACACGGUUUUAAAAUUAAUUUGACUUAAGUUUAGUAUAAUAUACUACUAAAGCUAGGAACUUUGAAGUCAAAUAAGCUCCAAUAAUCAAGACAUGUUAUCUCCUAGUAGGAAUUUAAACAAUAAAAUAUUUUCGAUUAGGAUUAUAUUUAAACUAAAAAUAAUUGAAAAUUAUAGUGCCUCAAACUCGACCGAAACGGACUAACCUGAAUUCGAAACUCUACAUUAGCCAUUUAUGUGACUCUCCUUACUGGUCAUCCAAACACACCAUAAAGCCAAUCAUCACACCCAACAAACAUGCUUAAACAAUUAAUCUAAAACAUACAAGCUUAAAUCAUGCUUCGUCUAACACAAAACAACAAAUUAUAAACAGGGGUAAAACUAUCAUUUUACACAUCGAAAGCAAAACUUGUAAUCAUGAAAUUUGGUUGAUUUAGUGUUUUGGGUAUUUUAUUUUAAACCAUUUGUAAAAAAAUUAGCUUAAAAUGAUGUUUAAAACUCAUUUAAUUUCAAAACAAAGUUUAAAGACUAAAUAAUAAAUUUUACAAAAUAUCUAGAAAAACCAUUUUAAGUAAUUGAAGUUACCAUAUUAAAAUAUAGUGUUUAAAUCCAUAUCAUGUAAAAUUUCAAAACAUUUCGUGGUGUUUAAGGCCUCCAAUUUUUUGUUGUGAAAAUCAGGACUUAUUUGCAACAGUUUCAAAAUAUGCCCAGAACAUUUUGAAAAUCUCGUCGCAAUCGCACGAUUUUCAUGUCUUGAAAUCAAGCCCUUUUUGUAACAUACCAUUUUACACUUUGAUAUUCAAAUGCACAUACCAAUUGGCGGUUCCAUGCCAUUUUCCCUAUUCUAACGUAAGGUCAUAUAUUAACAUGCUUUGACAUCCAAAACAAUCUCCUAAGCUAACAUGUUUUUCUAAAGUCUGAAACUAAUCAACUCAACAUAACAAAUUUUCAUAUAAGGCAAUUUAAAGUGCAAUAAAGAUACAUACCUUUCCAUUUGGUCAUUUUUCAUUUUUCCAAGCCUUCAACACAUCAUUUAAACCACUUUAACCAUAAAUCAAUAAAUCACAUGCAUGUUACUUAAUAAUUAAUUAAGCAUUCAUCUAGAAUACAUCAUGCAGUUAACCAAGAAAUUAAAUCAUGCACGAAUCAGUUAUAAAAAUCCUUAAACAGUUCAUGGAAAGUCCAUUUAUAAGUCCAAAAUAAAAGUAAAGUCUAGUCCCUCAAAUUUAAACCUACAUUGUCACCCUUUAUGAAGUAAAAACCAUCUCACAUGCACAAUCAACGUGCUUUUGCCUUUGGAUCCCCAACUUUCUCACUUUACCACUCCACACAAGCUAUGUCUCUGUAAAAAUAGUCACAAAAGAGUGUGAGCUUAACCAAGCUCAGUAAGUAUUCAAGAUGCUACAAUAAAUCACAAACACAAUAGUUAAAAACAAGGAUGCUAAAUAUACUUAUCACAUUGCAUAAAAAAAAUACCAUAUAAUAAUGAUAUAUUGGCAACUUGUGAGGAUGAAAAUGUAUAUCAAAGGCUCUCAUUGGAUACACAAACCUCCAUCACACCAUGACUUAAAAGAGUCUACAUAUCUCAAGUAAGUGUAGCAUGAAGCUAACACUCUCCAACACACCAACAUGUCCCAUGAAUGGAGCAAUGCUCUAUAUUCCCUUAUCCCUCCACAUGUCUCCAUGACAAAACAUAUAAAUGAGUACUCAAAUCUUAUGACAUGCCUACCAUAUCCAACAUUUUCAAAGGUUCACAAGGCCAAUAUAUCCAUUUCACACAUUUAUUUUCUAGUUUAUGCAUACUACACAUAUCAUAAUUUAUCAUGGCCAAACACUUACACAUGUUCACAUAUUGCACUAUAAGUGUUAACACUUUGCUCUUAAGCCUAAUUUACUCUCAUAUUAGUGAUAUGUGCAUAAUACCAACUAUCCACAAGGCAUAUUCAGUUAUAUUCAAUACAUAUAUGCACAUCACACACUUUAGCAUAUUAUAACACAAGUAAGCUUGUUUAUAGAAUAACAAAGAUUAAGUAGGAACACUUACUUCAAGGACUUAGAUUAGAUGAUUUGAUCACCUAAGCCCCCUUUAAGUCAUUGGUUUGUGCAUUAACUAUAGCACACAAAUCACUCACCUUAAUAAUUGGCUUCCACAACAAAGCUCAAGUAAGCUUUUGUUUGCCUUUGUGCUUGCUUAUUGAGGCUCCCAAAUGAGUUGAAACUUUACAUGCACAUCAAACACAAUACAAAGGCAUUCCAAGAAAUAACAAACAAGAUUAAAUCACUCUAAAAUCACAGAUCAAAGCUUCAGAUCUUUAUACUGAAAACUUAGCUAGUUUUCUCGAAAAUACGAUUUCACCAAUCAAAUAUUGUUUCUAAACCUUAAUUUUGAUCCUAAUAUUCCUAAAUAUAAUAUAAUUACAUAUUUUAACCUUCAAUUUAGUCAAAUUUUUUGGAUCUCAUUUUUUUGGAAAAAUUAAGCCAAAAGAGCUUUAAAGUGAAGAGAUCAUUCAAAUCUUUCAAAAUUACUUAUAGAUUUGUUAAAUUGGGAUUAAAAACCUUCUAAUAGGAUCAAAAUAAGUUCAAAAGAUCUUUAAAGUAGUACUUUAACUCAAUAAAACAAGAUCCACCAUUUUCAAGCUUGAAAUCAACUUAAAAUAAAAUGAUCUAUUGAAAUCGUGAAUUAAUUGAUUGAAACUCAAUUUAAAAAUCUAACACACUUAGUUUAAUCAUGAAAAGUUAGAAUGUUACCUCUAUUUUGCAAAAUCAACAAGCUACGAAGCUAAUUUGAGUUUGAACAUGUGAAGAACUUUAGAUAAAUUGAAGAUAAAAUCAUAAAUAUUCUUUGAAAUUGAAAAGAGAUUUUGUGUUUGGAGAGCUUAGAAAUAAAAAAAAAAGAUGAACAAAUUUUGGGAGAAAAACAAAAAUUGGUAUUUGGAAAAUUUUUU